UCCGGGUUAUUACCUUCAGUAACGGCGAGUGAAGCGGUAAAAGCUCAAAUUUGAAAUCUGGCUCUUUCAGAGUCCGAGUUGUAAUUUGUAGAAGAUGCUUCGGGUGUGGUUCCGGUCUAAGUUCCUUGGAACAGGACGUCAUAGAGGGUGAGAAUCCCGUAUGUGACUGGAUACCUAUGCUCAUGUGAAGCUCUUUCGACGAGUCGAGUUGUUUGGGAAUGCAGCUCAAAAUGGGUGGUAUAUUUCAUCUAAAGCUAAAUAUUGGCCAGAGACCGAUAGCGCACAAGUAGAGUGAUCGAAAGAUGAAAAGCACUUUGGAAAGAGAGUUAAACAGUACGUGAAAUUGUUGAAAGGGAAGCGCUUGCAAUCAGACUUGCACUUGGUGUUCAUCAGGGUUUCGUGCCCUGUGUACUUCAUCAAGUUCAGGCCAGCAUCAGUUUGAGUGGUUAGAUAAAGGCUUGGAGAAUGUGGCCCUCUUCGGGGGGUGUUAUAGCUCCAGGUGCAAUGUAGCCUACUUGGACUGAGGACCGCGCUUCGGCUAGGAUGCUGGCGUAAUGGUUGUAAGCGACCCGUCUUGAA
Molecule: ribosomal RNA, 579 nt
Filed under: Sclerotinia sclerotiorum
Lineage: Eukaryota; Fungi; Ascomycota; Leotiomycetes; Helotiales; Sclerotiniaceae
Description: LSU rRNA
Rfam family: Eukaryotic large subunit ribosomal RNA
Source: RNAcentral